Molecule: ribosomal RNA, 1359 nt
Filed under: Salmonella enterica subsp. enterica
Lineage: Bacteria; Pseudomonadati; Pseudomonadota; Gammaproteobacteria; Enterobacterales; Enterobacteriaceae
Description: bacterial SSU rRNA
Rfam family: Bacterial small subunit ribosomal RNA
Source: RNAcentral
CAAAGAGGGGGACCUUCGGGCCUCUUGCCAUCAGAUGUGCCCAGAUGGGAUUAGCUUGUUGGUGAGGUAACGGCUCACCAAGGCGACGAUCCCUAGCUGGUCUGAGAGGAUGACCAGCCACACUGGAACUGAGACACGGUCCAGACUCCUACGGGAGGCAGCAGUGGGGAAUAUUGCACAAUGGGCGCAAGCCUGAUGCAGCCAUGCCGCGUGUAUGAAGAAGGCCUUCGGGUUGUAAAGUACUUUCAGCGGGGAGGAAGGUGUUGUGGUUAAUAACCGCAGCAAUUGACGUUACCCGCAGAAGAAGCACCGGCUAACUCCGUGCCAGCAGCCGCGGUAAUACGGAGGGUGCAAGCGUUAAUCGGAAUUACUGGGCGUAAAGCGCACGCAGGCGGUCUGUCAAGUCGGAUGUGAAAUCCCCGGGCUCAACCUGGGAACUGCAUUCGAAACUGGCAGGCUUGAGUCUUGUAGAGGGGGGUAGAAUUCCAGGUGUAGCGGUGAAAUGCGUAGAGAUCUGGAGGAAUACCGGUGGCGAAGGCGGCCCCCUGGACAAAGACUGACGCUCAGGUGCGAAAGCGUGGGGAGCAAACAGGAUUAGAUACCCUGGUAGUCCACGCCGUAAACGAUGUCUACUUGGAGGUUGUGCCCUUGAGGCGUGGCUUCCGGAGCUAACGCGUUAAGUAGACCGCCUGGGGAGUACGGCCGCAAGGUUAAAACUCAAAUGAAUUGACGGGGGCCCGCACAAGCGGUGGAGCAUGUGGUUUAAUUCGAUGCAACGCGAAGAACCUUACCUGGUCUUGACAUCCACAGAACUUUCCAGAGAUGGAUUGGUGCCUUCGGGAACUGUGAGACAGGUGCUGCAUGGCUGUCGUCAGCUCGUGUUGUGAAAUGUUGGGUUAAGUCCCGCAACGAGCGCAACCCUUAUCCUUUGUUGCCAGCGGUCCGGCCGGGAACUCAAAGGAGACUGCCAGUGAUAAACUGGAGGAAGGUGGGGAUGACGUCAAGUCAUCAUGGCCCUUACGACCAGGGCUACACACGUGCUACAAUGGCGCAUACAAAGAGAAGCGACCUCGCGAGAGCAAGCGGACCUCAUAAAGUGCGUCGUAGUCCGGAUUGGAGUCUGCAACUCGACUCCAUGAAGUCGGAAUCGCUAGUAAUCGUGGAUCAGAAUGCCACGGUGAAUACGUUCCCGGGCCUUGUACACACCGCCCGUCACACCAUGGGAGUGGGUUGCAAAAGAAGUAGGUAGCUUAACCUUCGGGAGGGCGCUUACCACUUUGUGAUUCAUGACUGGGGUGAAGUCGUAACAAGGUAACCGUAGGGGAACCUGCGGUUGGAUCACCUCCUUACCUUAAAGAA